This 253-nucleotide ribosomal RNA is filed under the name uncultured bacterium. RNAcentral's name for it is "partial 16S ribosomal RNA". It matches the Rfam family "Bacterial small subunit ribosomal RNA", at positions 524 to 776 of the family's 1533-position model. The record is from RNAcentral.
UACGUAGGGUGCGAGCGUUGUCCGGAAUUAUUGGGCGUAAAGAGCUCGUAGGCGGUUUGUCGCGUCUGCUGUGAAAACUCGGGGCUUAACCCCGGGCCUGCAGUGGGUACGGGCAGACUAGAGUGCGGUAGGGGAGACUGGAAUUCCUGGUGUAGCGGUGAAAUGCGCAGAUAUCAGGAGGAACACCGGUGGCGAAGGCGGGUCUCUGGGCCGUAACUGACGCUGAGGAGCGAAAGCGUGGGGAGCGAUCCGG